This 508-nucleotide long non-coding RNA is filed under the name Salvator merianae (Argentine black and white tegu). RNAcentral's name for it is "lncRNA (ENSSMRG00000010686.1)". The record is from RNAcentral. Lineage: Eukaryota; Metazoa; Chordata; Lepidosauria; Squamata; Teiidae.
AAAGUUUUGGAGCUGGAUGGAAAGGCAGAAUUCUCUAAUGUAAUAAUGAUGGAAAGUUCCGGAGCAUGUAGAAGAGACAUGGAUGCAAAGCUGCCGGUGGAAUUCAUGGAAGCCCUUUAUACUGCUCUCCGAGAACAGAUCCAAUCCUUUGAGGAGCACCUUCAGCAGAAGAUGAAGGAGAGAGAGCUGGAAUCCCUUGCGCACCCACUGGAGAAAGAAGAUUGGAAUCUACCCAGUACUCAGCGUCACACAGUCCUCCGUGAGCUGGAUGACCUAGGAAGGCAGCUUAGACUGGAGGAAUACCGCAAGAAAAUUCUGCAAGGUGACUGGCUGCUAGAAUUGGAAGUCAGGCCAGUUCUUAUGCGGCAGAUUAAUACAGUAAGAAGCUAGGACGGUUAAUGAACUAUGAAAUCAAUAGUGGGUGUGUUUACGGCCAGUUCAGAAACACAGCAACUAGGGCUCCAUCCAUAUCAGAGCAGGAUCUGGGCCGUGGUGUAGAGUGGCUGCC